UACGUAGGCAGCAAGCGUUGUUCGGAAUUACUGGGCGUAAAGAGUGUGUAGGCGGUGCUCUAAGUCUGUCGUGAAAUCUCCCGGCUUAACUGGGAGGGUGCGGCGGAAACUGGAAUGCUAGAGGGUGGGAGAGGAAAGCGGAAUUCCUGGUGUAGCGGUGGAAUGCGCAGAUAUCAGGAGGAACACCAAUGGCGAAGGCAGCUCUCUGGUACAUGAUUGACGCUGAGACGCGAAAGCGUGGGGAGCGAACAGG
This 253-nucleotide ribosomal RNA is filed under the name uncultured bacterium. RNAcentral's name for it is "partial 16S ribosomal RNA". It matches the Rfam family "Bacterial small subunit ribosomal RNA", at positions 524 to 776 of the family's 1533-position model. The record is from RNAcentral.